GAUGAACGCUGGCGGCGUGCCUAAUACAUGCAAGUCGAGCGAACGGACGAGAAGCUUGCUUUUCUGAUGUUAGCGGCGGACGGGUGAGUAACACGUGGAUAACCUACCUAUAAGACUGGGAUAACUUCGGGAGACCGGAGCUAAUACCGGAUAAUAUUUUGAACCGCAUGGUUCAAAAGUGAAAGACGGUCUUGCUGUCACUUAUAGAUGGAUCCGCGCUGCAUUAGCUAGUUGGUAAGGUAACGGCUUACCAAGGCAACGAUGCAUAGCUGACCUGAGAGGGUGAUCGGCCACACUGGAACUGAGACACGGUCCAGACUCCUACGGGAGGCAGCAGUAGGGAAUCUUCCGCAAUGGGCGAAAGCCUGACGGAGCAACGCCGCGUGAGUGAUGAAGGUCUUCGGAUCGUAAAACUCUGUUAUUAGGGAAGAACAUAUGUGUAAGUAACUGUGCACAUCUUGACGGUACCUAAUCAGAAAGCCACGGCUAACUACGUG
Molecule: ribosomal RNA, 497 nt
Filed under: uncultured bacterium
Lineage: Bacteria
Description: partial 16S ribosomal RNA
Rfam family: Bacterial small subunit ribosomal RNA
Source: RNAcentral